CUGCCUCCUGAGUAGCUAGGAUUACAGGCAUAAGCCACAGCACCAGGCAAAAAAAAAAUUUUUAAUUGUCACCUUAAUUCCCAUUUCCCCAAAAAUAACUACCAUUAGCAUUUGGUGAACAUUAUUCAAGACGUCUCUCAAUGCAUUUAUAAAAAAACACUGAGACAUAGACUAACUUUAACUGCUUCCUAAAAAUAAAAAGUAUUCAGUCGGGCGCAGUGGCUCACGCCUGUAGUCCCAGCACUUUGGGAGGCUGAGGCGGAUGGAUUGCCUGAGGUCAGGAGUUCGAGACCAGCC
This 297-nucleotide long non-coding RNA is filed under the name Homo sapiens (human). RNAcentral describes it as "HSALNT0194826". The record is from RNAcentral. Lineage: Eukaryota; Metazoa; Chordata; Mammalia; Primates; Hominidae.